GAUAAACGCUGGCGGCGCACAUAAGACAUGCAAGUCGAACGGACAGAAGCCUUAGUUUACUAUGGUGGAAGUUAGUGGCGGACUGGUGAGUAACACGUAAGCAAUCUGCCUAUCAGAGGGGAACAACAGUUAGAAAUGACUGCUAAUACCGCAUAUGCCUAAGCAACACAUGUUGCAAUAGGGAAAGGAGCAAUCCGCUGAUAGAUGAGCUUGCGUCUGAUUAGAUAGUUGGUGGGGUAACGGCCUACCAAGCCGACGAUCAGUAGCCGGACUGAGAGGUUGAACGGCCACAUUGGAACUGAGAUACGGUCCAGACUCCUACGGGAGGCAGCAGUGGGGAAUAUUGGGCAAUGGGCGAAAGCCUGACCCAGCGACGCCGCGUGAAGGAAGAAGGUCUUCGGAUUGUAAACUUUUGUCAGCAGGGAAGAAGAAAGUGACGGUACCUGCCAAGAAAGCCACGGCUAACUACGUG
Molecule: ribosomal RNA, 472 nt
Filed under: uncultured bacterium
Lineage: Bacteria
Description: bacterial SSU rRNA
Rfam family: Bacterial small subunit ribosomal RNA
Source: RNAcentral